UGAUGACAGAAGAUUCAGAAUGAGUGUGGUGUGUUCACUGGUUAACGAAAUGUCUUUCCUGAUGGAAGAGAAAGGUCACAGAUGACUGCAGGAUGGCAAUAGUCCUGAGGAAAAGUGUUCCUAGUUAAAGUGUACCAGUUUGUUCAGAGUGCUUUUCCACCUAAAAUGCACACUAGGAUACUGUAAGCCACCUCUUACUUCCAGCAUGUUCUCAAUAAGAUUUUAAAGAUAUUGCUUAUGAUCAGUUGGUGUUCUAAGUUGCAAGCAAAAGAAAUCAACACUGGACAAUGAAGCAGAAAAUGAUUUGUGAUAAAACCAUUGGAUACUUCAUAUGCUCUUCAGAAUGACCAAAGAAAGCCCACACAACCAGGAAAAAGAAAAAACUCUUCCAGAAUAAUGCUGCAUAACUGAUCAGAAGGAAAACUCCUCUGUUGUUGCUGCCAGCAUGACUAGGACUGAGCUUUAACUAAAAUAGUGACAACAGACACUUGGCCCUGAAUAAAGCUGCUUGA
Molecule: non-coding RNA, 512 nt
Organism: Microcebus murinus (gray mouse lemur)
Lineage: Eukaryota; Metazoa; Chordata; Mammalia; Primates; Cheirogaleidae
Source: RefSeq, a predicted model, not a curated record